Molecule: ribosomal RNA, 396 nt
Filed under: uncultured Saprolegniales
Lineage: Eukaryota; Oomycota; Saprolegniomycetes; Saprolegniales
Description: partial small subunit ribosomal RNA
Rfam family: Eukaryotic small subunit ribosomal RNA
Source: RNAcentral
GCUUGUCUCAAAGAUUAAGCCAUGCACGUCUAAGUAUAAGCAUUAUACAGCGAAACAGCGAAUGGCUCAUUACAUUAGUUUUAACAUACACGAUGAUCGAUUCUACUUGGAUAACCGUAGUAAUUCUAGAGCUAAUACAUGCGUAAAUACCCAACUGCUUGUCGGACGGGUAGCAUUUAUUAGAUUGAAACCAAUGCAGCUUCGGCUGGUAUUGUGUUGAGUCAUAAUAACUGUGCGGAUCGCUUUUUAAGCGAUAAAUCGAUUGAGUUUCUGCCCUAUCAGCUUUGGAUGGUAGGAUAUGGGCCUACCAUGGCGUUAACGGGUAACGGGGAAUUAGGGUUUGAUUCCGGAGAGGGAGCCUUAGAAACGGCUACCACAUCCAAGGAAGGCAGCAGG